UACGGGGGGAGCAAGCGUUGUUCGGAUUUACUGGGCGUAAAGGGCGCGUAGGCGGCCAGCACAAGUCAGUUGUGAAAUCUCCGAGCUUAACUCGGAACGGUCAACUGAUACUGCGCGGCUAGAGUGCGGAAGGGGCAACUGGAAUUCUUGGUGUAGCGGUGAAAUGCGUAGAUAUCAAGAGGAACACCUGCGGCGAAGGCGGGUUGCUGGGCCGACACUGACGCUGAGGCGCGAAAGCUAGGGGAGCGAACGGG
Molecule: ribosomal RNA, 254 nt
Filed under: uncultured bacterium
Lineage: Bacteria
Description: partial 16S ribosomal RNA
Rfam family: Bacterial small subunit ribosomal RNA
Source: RNAcentral